Molecule: ribosomal RNA, 910 nt
Filed under: Escherichia coli
Lineage: Bacteria; Pseudomonadati; Pseudomonadota; Gammaproteobacteria; Enterobacterales; Enterobacteriaceae
Description: partial 23S ribosomal RNA
Rfam family: Bacterial large subunit ribosomal RNA
Source: RNAcentral
UGUAUAAUGGGUCAGCGACUUAUAUUCUGUAGCAAGGUUAACCGAAUAGGGGAGCCGAAGGGAAACCGAGUCUUAACUGGGCGUUAAGUUGCAGGGUAUAGACCCGAAACCCGGUGAUCUAGCCAUGGGCAGGUUGAAGGUUGGGUAACACUAACUGGAGGACCGAACCGACUAAUGUUGAAAAAUUAGCGGAUGACUUGUGGCUGGGGGUGAAAGGCCAAUCAAACCGGGAGAUAGCUGGUUCUCCCCGAAAGCUAUUUAGGUAGCGCCUCGUGAAUUCAUCUCCGGGGGUAGAGCACUGUUUCGGCAAGGGGGUCAUCCCGACUUACCAACCCGAUGCAAACUGCGAAUACCGGAGAAUGUUAUCACGGGAGACACACGGCGGGUGCUAACGUCCGUCGUGAAGAGGGAAACAACCCAGACCGCCAGCUAAGGUCCCAAAGUCAUGGUUAAGUGGGAAACGAUGUGGGAAGGCCCAGACAGCCAGGAUGUUGGCUUAGAAGCAGCCAUCAUUUAAAGAAAGCGUAAUAGCUCACUGGUCGAGUCGGCCUGCGCGGAAGAUGUAACGGGGCUAAACCAUGCACCGAAGCUGCGGCAGCGACGCUUAUGCGUUGUUGGGUAGGGGAGCGUUCUGUAAGCCUGUGAAGGUGUACUGUGAGGUAUGCUGGAGGUAUCAGAAGUGCGAAUGCUGACAUAAGUAACGAUAAAGCGGGUGAAAAGCCCGCUCGCCGGAAGACCAAGGGUUCCUGUCCAACGUUAAUCGGGGCAGGGUGAGUCGACCCCUAAGGCGAGGCCGAAAGGCGUAGUCGAUGGGAAACAGGUUAAUAUUCCUGUACUUGGUGUUACUGCGAAGGGGGGACGGAGAAGGCUAUGUUGGCCGGGCGACGGUUGUCCCGGUUUAAGCGUGUAG